RNAcentral lists this non-coding RNA (45 nucleotides) under Schistosoma margrebowiei. The record is from RNAcentral. Lineage: Eukaryota; Metazoa; Platyhelminthes; Trematoda; Strigeidida; Schistosomatidae.
GUCUAACUGACGAGUACCAAAUAGGACGAAACGCGCGUUCUGGAU